UACGAAGGGGACUAGCGUUGUUCGGAUUUACUGGGCGUAAAGCGCGCGUAGGCGGAUCGCUAAGUCAGGGGUGAAAUCCCAGGGCUCAACCCUGGAACUGCCUUUGAUACUGACGGUCUGGAGAUCGGGAGAGGUUGGUGGAAUUCCGAGUGUAGAGGUGAAAUUCGUAGAUAUUCGGAGGAACGCCAGAAGCGAAGGCGGCCAACUGGCCCGAUACUGACGCUGAGGCGCGAAAGCGUGGGGAGCAAACAGG
Molecule: ribosomal RNA, 253 nt
Filed under: uncultured bacterium
Lineage: Bacteria
Description: partial 16S ribosomal RNA
Rfam family: Bacterial small subunit ribosomal RNA
Source: RNAcentral